Molecule: ribosomal RNA, 441 nt
Filed under: Escherichia coli
Lineage: Bacteria; Pseudomonadati; Pseudomonadota; Gammaproteobacteria; Enterobacterales; Enterobacteriaceae
Description: bacterial SSU rRNA
Rfam family: Bacterial small subunit ribosomal RNA
Source: RNAcentral
CCUACGGGAGGCAGCAGUGGGGAAUCUUGGACAAUGGGCGCAAGCCUGAUCCAGCCAUGCCGCGUGAGUGAUGAAGGCCUUAGGGUCGUAAAGCUCUUUCGCCAGGGAUGAUAAUGACAGUACCUGGUAAAGAAACCCCGGCUAACUCCGUGCCAGCAGCCGCGGUAAUACGCAGGGGGGUAGCGUUGUUCGGAAUUACUGGGCGUAAAGCGCGCGUAGGCGGAGUAUUAAGUCAGGGGUGAAAUCCCGGGGCUCAACCCCGGAACUGCCCUUGAUACUGGGUGUCUUGAGUCCGAGAGAGGUGAGUGGAAUUCCGAGUGUAGAGGUGAAAUUCGUAGAUAUUCGGAGGAACACCAGUGGCGAAGGCGGCUCACUGGCUCGAUACUGACGCUGAGGUGCGAAAGUGUGGGGAGCAAACAGGAUUAGAUACCCGGGUAGUCC